This 623-nucleotide long non-coding RNA is filed under the name Elaeis guineensis (African oil palm). RNAcentral's name for it is "long non-coding RNA (EGUI_LNC037604)". The record is from RNAcentral. Lineage: Eukaryota; Viridiplantae; Streptophyta; Magnoliopsida; Arecales; Arecaceae.
CGUGGACCGGGCGGUCCACGACUGGGCCUAUGGACCACGUGGGCAUUUCCCACGCGUUUCUCGUGGUCCACGGCACUAUUCCAUGAACCGAAGCGCGAUCUGAGGGCGUGGGUGGCUCCCGAUUUUGAUCCGACGGUCCAAAGGUUAUCUGACUUUGUUUAGGACUCCUAAUCCUUCUCUAAUCAAGUUUUUAACCCUUUAAAAGGGCCUGUACGUGAAACAGAGGGGGUGUGGUUCGGAUUCUUGCACCGUACGAAGCCCGUAUGAAUUCGAUUGAAGAGAGAGAGGUGGAAGUGCUUAGAGAGAAGGAGCAGGAAGCUCCUGGACAGCGAUCGCCAGGCACUUCAGGGGUUCAGGGGGGUCUCCUAAGAGAGAGAGAGCUUUUGUGAGGGGAACUUCUAGUGAGAGAGAAUUAGGUGUACAAGGGUUGAGGGUGAGGUCUCCUUUUGUAAAAUUUUCUUUUUCAUAGUGAAGUUUGCAUGCCCCGUGGAGGCGAGCCCUUUUGUGGCUGAUCCACGUAUUUUGAUUAUUUUUUUCUUUUGUUUUGUUUCUUCUUUCUUCCUGCUGCAUCGCGUGGUACUGAAAGGAUCUUGGAAGGUGGUGUCCUGGCCAGACAUCCACCC